UUCNGAGGUACCAGGGAGCAGGAUGAUGU
RNAcentral lists this non-coding RNA (29 nucleotides) under Mus musculus (house mouse). The record is from RNAcentral. Lineage: Eukaryota; Metazoa; Chordata; Mammalia; Rodentia; Muridae.